UACGUAGGGGGCAAGCGUUGUCCGGAUUUAUUGGGCGUAAAGAGCGUGUAGGCGGCCUGACAGGUCUGCUGUGAAAACUCGAGGCUCAACCUCGAGAUGUCGGCGGAAACCGUCUGGCUAGAGUCCGGAAGAGGAGAGUGGAAUUCCCGGUGUAGCGGUGAAAUGCGCAGAUAUCGGGAGGAACACCAAUGGCGAAGGCAGCUCGCUGGGACGGUACUGACGCUGAGACGCGAAAGCGUGGGGAGCAAACAGG
Molecule: ribosomal RNA, 253 nt
Filed under: uncultured bacterium
Lineage: Bacteria
Description: partial 16S ribosomal RNA
Rfam family: Bacterial small subunit ribosomal RNA
Source: RNAcentral